AUUGAACGCUGGCGGCAUGCCUUACACAUGCAAGUCGAACGGUAACGGGCCUUCGGUUGCCGACGAGUGGCGAACGGGUGGGUAAUACAUCGGAACGUGCCCGAUCGUGGGGGAUAACGAGGCGAAAGCUUUGCUAAUACCACAUACGAUCUACGGAUGAAAGCAGGGGACCGCAAGGCCUUGCGCGGACGGAGCGGGCUAUGGCAGAUUAGGUAGUUGGUGGGAUAAAAGCUUACUAAGCCGACGAUCUGUAGCUGGUGGCAGAGGAUGAUCGGCGACAUUGGGACUGAGACACGGCCAAGGCUACUGCGGGAGGCAGCAGUGGCGAAUGUUGGACAAUGGGCGCGAGUCUGAUACAGUGAUGCGGCGUGUAGGACAAAGGCGCUGGGGUUGUAAAGUGCGUCUGUACGGAACGAACAGCUUUCUUCUAAGACGGGGGGUUAAUGACGGUACCGGAAGAAUAAGCACCGGCUAACUACGUG
Molecule: ribosomal RNA, 482 nt
Filed under: uncultured bacterium
Lineage: Bacteria
Description: partial 16S ribosomal RNA
Rfam family: Bacterial small subunit ribosomal RNA
Source: RNAcentral